GAAAGAUAUCAGAUCCAGGCAGCUCACCAUUAAAACAGCUUGUCUGAGAGUUCAUGGACGUCAUUGGUUAUUCUUCUUUUUAGGAGCGACCAGCUGCACAAAGUCUCCUCUGCAUUGCCAUAGGUGACAUGCCAGCUGUUGCUCAGGCCCUGAGGCAGAACCAGCCCAGCGUCAUCAUGGGAGAGACGCUUCUGUUGACUCCCCCUGGAUUUGUAUAUUAAAGAAAUGUGGCAACAGUU
Molecule: long non-coding RNA, 239 nt
Organism: Anguilla anguilla (European eel)
Lineage: Eukaryota; Metazoa; Chordata; Actinopteri; Anguilliformes; Anguillidae
Exons: 2
Source: RefSeq, a predicted model, not a curated record